Molecule: ribosomal RNA, 355 nt
Filed under: uncultured bacterium
Lineage: Bacteria
Description: bacterial SSU rRNA
Rfam family: Bacterial small subunit ribosomal RNA
Source: RNAcentral
GAGUUUGAUCUUGGCUCAGAUUGAACGCUGGCGGCAGGCCUAACACAUGCAAGUCGAGCGGUAGAGAGAAGCUUGCUUCUCUUGAGAGCGGCGGACGGGUGAGUAAUGCCUAGGAAUCUGCCUGGUAGUGGGGGAUAACGCUCGGAAACGGACGCUAAUACCGCAUACCGUCCUACGGGAGAAAGCAGGGGACCUUCGGGCCUUGCGCUAUCAGAUGAGCCUAGGUCGGAUUAGCUAGUUGGUGAGGUAAUGGACUCACCAAGGCGACGAUCCGUAACUGGUCUGAGAGGAUGAUCAGUCACACUGGAACUGAGACACGGUCCAGACUCCUACGGGACGGCAGCAGUGGGGAACU